AGUGAACGCUGGCGGUAUGCCUAAUACAUGCAAGUCGAACGGCAGCACAGUAAGAGCUCGCCCUUACGGGUGGCGACUGGCGGAUGGGUGAGGCAUACAUCGCAAUCUACUAUGUCGCGGGGGAUAACGGGAGGAAGCAUACGCUACUAGAGCAUACUUCGAACGGCUUAAAUCAGGGGAUCAUGACGCUCUUGCUGUCACUUUUAGCUGGAUCCGGGCUGGAUUAGCUAGUUGGUAAGGUAACGGCUCACCAAGGCAACGAUGCGUAGCCGGGCUGAGAGGAUGAUCAGCCACACUGGAACUGAGACACGGUCCAGACUCCUACGGGAGGCAGCAGUAGGGAAUAUUGGACAAUGGGCGCAAGCCUGAUGCAGCCAUACCGCGUGGGUGAAGAAGGCCUUCGGGUUGUAAAGCCCUUUUGUUGGGAAAGAAAAGAAGCAGGUUAAUACCUCGCUGUUCUGACGGUACCCAAAGAGUAAGCACCGGCUAACUUCGUG
Molecule: ribosomal RNA, 497 nt
Filed under: uncultured bacterium
Lineage: Bacteria
Description: partial 16S ribosomal RNA
Rfam family: Bacterial small subunit ribosomal RNA
Source: RNAcentral